This is a long non-coding RNA of Gallus gallus (chicken), 22770 nucleotides long. The record is from Ensembl. Lineage: Eukaryota; Metazoa; Chordata; Aves; Galliformes; Phasianidae.
GAGCUGAUGCAGGAUCCACCUUGCACAGCCCUGCUCUCCAUCCCAUGGCCCCAGGUUAAAAAAAAUGCAAGCUAAAUUGUAACCAUACAGAGCAAGGAAGGUGCUGCAGAACAAACAAGUCCGAGCGAGGUUAGCAUCCGCAGAGGGAGAGUGUUUCACUGAACACAUCCACGCUUCCAAAACACCUACACCAUAUUCUGUCCUAAUGUAAGAUUUCCAUUUGGGUUCGGAUCAGCAUCUGUAUAUUUCCAGUGAUCUGAUUAAAGAUGGUGGGGCUCAUCCAGCUCCAGCACUGCAGUGCUGGGGGAAGCUCAGGUCCCCACAGAGGAUCCUUGAGCUCUCUAACCCUGUUUUCUAAGGAAAUAUAAGGCAGGGUUCCAUUUAUUUAUUUCCAUAUCCCAGAUAUUGUCUUGGGAGAAGGGGAUUGUUUUCCAGAGCUCGUGUUGGUGCUGCUGAGCCUUUCCUAGGGAUCAGCCAAAACUUCCAGCUGGGCUCAUCAACUCUUCCUGGGCUACCUGAAAUGUUUAUCAGUCCUUGUGCCAAUCAGAGAAGUAGGGCCUGCAUCACUUCCAAUAACUCAGCCUUCACCUGAAGAUCAGUAUAACAUCUAAAUCUGUGUUUCAACACAGAGUUAGUGUGACCUGCUCCGCUCAGCUCUCUUAUCACUUGGGGCAUUUCAUGUUGCAGCCAUGUCUGUCCAAGUCUGAGAGAUAAAGUUUAAUCAAACGAAUGAUUUGUUAUUCUCCAGCAGGGAUUAACAAAGGUGUUUAAAACACUGUGUUCAUAUUCACCAUGAGGAUAAAGGGGAUUUUGGAACAGUGAUAUCACUGGGUUUCAGUGUGACCUGUAUGGUGUUAAAAGCAGGGGAAGCUGUGAUGAACCAUGCUGGGCAGUGACGUUCACAUGUGUACAACUAAAGUCCUUAAAGCAGAUGAGUAAUUUGGACUCAAUUUUUAUUUAAAUCAAGUCUCUGUUACAUGCAUCUAUGCCCACGCCUUGAAAUUCUCUCCAGUCAUGCAUUUGGCGUAGGUGGGAAUACCUCCUUCACAGGUAAACUUAGUGUUCCUUUCAUAGAGAAGGCCGUUACCAUUGACUUCCCUCUGUUAAGAAAAAAAAAGAGGAUUUUUUUUCAUAACAAUUUAACUUUGAGCAGUAUUUAUUUAUUCAAGAAGUUUUCCUGACAGUGUGUAAAAGAAGGAUCAUUUAGAAAAGAAAAAAAGGUUCAGUAAUGUAAGUCCUCAUUUGGGACUGCGUCUCAAAUUAUAUCUUUUUGAUUCUGACUUUCUGCCCAGGUUCCAGUGGAAACUUUUUUUCACUUAAAAAGCAAAUUUCUUUCUUUGAAGGCAACCAAUCUAGCAGUGUUUUUUUUUUUUUUUUCUUGUUUCUAAACUGCAGAGAAACUCUCAUGGCAGUGGUAUAAAGUUGGCCUGUGGCCUCAUGGGCCGUAAGGUGGGCUUGAUGGUGCUGUGUCAGUGCUUGUGUCAGUGCCUAGCCAUUGUUUUGUUCCCCCUUUGUCCACCGAAGCUCUGUCUUCAAUCCUGUCAUUUUUGGAGGUGUUUGCAGGCAUGGUUAUGUCUUUCCUCUUCCUGAGUUAAUGAUGGUACAGGCUGUCCAGAGAGCUGGUGGAGUCACCAUCCCUGGAGGUGUCCAGGAACCAUGAUUCUAUUGGCUCAGAAUGAUGCUUGUGCCUUUUGGGUCCCAGCAAAUAUAGAAUUUUAUGAGUCUGUAUAGGAAUUGUUGAAUCACAGCCUGAACCUCUGAUUGACCACCUGAGGCGAGUGCUGAGUCAGCCGCAGGGGCACAGGUGAACUCAAUUCUCCAAGACCCCAUUUAAGGGCUGACUCCCAAGGAGGAAGGCUCUCUAUCUGGAGAUCACCCUUCUUGGAGCCCUUCUUUAAGCCCAGGACAAGGGUAAGCUCUUUAUUUCAUUACUCCUUUGUAAAUGCGAUAAUCUCUCUGGUCCUGUACCUAUUUACCUUCCAAUCUGUAUACCUGUUUGCCAUACAGAGACCCUAUGCUUACAUUCCUCCUUUAAUGCUUAAGAGAUAAAAGCUCCCAUUCAGGCUGCUUACCUGGGUGUCUCACAUAAUCAUUAAAGUGGUUUCAGAGGCCAAGGAAGCAAGAAGUAAUUGCUGCAGGGCUGCCAGACCUUGUCUGCACUGAGUGUGCAGGUGCCCACUGUGGGGGGCUGUGGGGAACAGCCCAUCCACACCCCACCUCCGCAGCCAAGGCAAAUAAUCAAGAAGGAAGGAAUGAAUAUCUUUGCUAUUGCUUUUCAUUAUGUCUUUUUGAAGAUGUGAUGCACUAAGAUUUCCUGUGAUUACAUGUAAUAGCUGGAGGGGGGAAGAAGGGAAGACAGUAAAUGAAAGUCAUACAAUUAAUUCACUUAAAUCUGUCACUAAGGCUUCAGUGAGCCAAUCUGUAAAUAACUCUACUGCUAACGUAACUUUGUUUGCAUAACUCAGCUCAAACCCCUCAGAGAUGAGGGACCCAGUGCUUUUCCCCUCACUUCCUGCACAUGAAAUGCUAUCUGGGACAGCAAUAGUCUGUAAAUCUGACUCUGUGGCAAUGCACCAGGUUUGAGUGGAUGAAAAAAAGCUCCACAUGCCAGCACGCAUGCCUAAAAUUAGCACCAAAGACAUUGGAUUCUCGAGUGCUUUAUUCCUUUCUUUUCCUCUCACUAAAGGGCUGGGUUUUUGGCGUGCUGCUGAGGACCAGUUCAUAAUAUUAGUCUGAGGUUACUGUGCCAUUCAACCAAACCAGAGUUGAGCACCUUUUGUUCAUGAGAUGAAUGACACCAGCUCCUCCCCUCCCAGCACACCAAAUCAAAUUAACCUACUGGGGUAACUGGACUGGGCUGCUCAGGUGCUGGUGGUCUCUGAGCUUUGCAAUAAUCAUCUGCAGAUGGCAGGAAAAUGCAAGCCUGAGAAGCAUAAAGUGGCUGAAAGGCAUCUGUCCAAGAGUAAUUGAGGCUCCAGGACCCCAUUUAUAGCAUGGGGAUGUAAUGUUCCAGUGAGCCCCAUCCCAUCAGGUGCAGAGUGUGGGUGCUGCCUGCAUCAUCUGCCAGUGGGACAUGCUGGGAGGAGCUGGGAACUGCACAGGAGCAAAGCAAGAAUGUUGCAUGCCCAGGAGUGCAGCAAUGCACUGUUGACAGUGAGCAUCACCUGAUGGGACAUCAUAUAGGGGAAGGUUGAGCAAAGAGGUGACUUUGGGGUCAAGGAAAAUGAGAUCCAGAGAAUAGAAUAAACUGAAGAAUAGAAGCAAAAUGCCACUGACUUUUUGUAACCCAAUCCAAAGGGCUCCAACAGCAAUAACAAGAUUUCAAAAGAAAAAAUCAUUGUAGGCUGCACAGGUACUGGAGGAACACCCAGAGCAAAUUCUCUCUUGUACUUAGCCCAUGGAAAAUAUUAGUAAUGCCUUGUGUCCCAGGAGACUGAACUGACCCUGACUGGCCCAGCCUGUCUGGAGGCUUUUCUGUGAGCCUGACCUAUUAAAUAUUCUCUCUUUUAUUUCACAACAAACACUUCCCUCCCUCCUCUCUAAUGAGAUGUUUGGCUGAGCAGCGUUUGAAGAACAGAGAAAUUCCAUGAUAUCAUUUGCAGGUGGGCCAGGCAGAGGUAUCUUUACUGUCAGGUUUUCAUUUUAUUAGAUAUCACCAGAAAAAAAAAUAGCUUUGAAAACAAACUCUAGCUGAACUCCAGCCCAACAGGAGCAAAAUUUCACAUAGCCAUCUAUUCUGGUAGAUUAGCGGCCUUUAGAAGAGGAAGCCAAAGGAUGUGUUUUCUUCAGAGAGCAUUUUAAAAAUCUCUAAAUCUCUUAGAUUUUUUUUCAAUCCCAGAAUAACUUUGGAAAUACAAGAGUGCUUUUCUUCUUUAAUCUUGUCAACAAUUUCAAGCAGAGAUUUGUUCUGGGGAAAACUGCAACUCUGCCUUAGGUUCUGAUAAGUGUAGAAGAGUUUGUCCUGCUAAUAUAUUCUUCCGAAUUCAGAUCAACCAUGGAAAAACAGAGGGUGAUGAAACACUGAAACAGGUUGCCCAAGGAGGCUGUGGAUGCCCCAUCCCUGAGGGCAUUCAAGGCCAGGCUGGAUGUGGCUCUGGGCAGACUGGUCUGGUGUUUGGUGACCCUGCACACAGCAGGGGGUUGAAACUGGAUGAUCAUUGUGGUCCUUUUCAACCCAGGCCAUUCUAUGAAACCCCGUAAGUUCCAUCAGACAGAUGAGAAACCUGCACCUCCAGAGGAGGAGGCAUUGAUUCCCAUAUUUCCACAGUCUUAAUACAAGAUUAGUCUUAACAUUUCUCAUCAUUUAUACCAUGAUGCUUUUAAGGAUUGUGUCUUUUCUAUUCAAAAAGUCAAUAUUAUAGAGGUUUUCCUGCAUCCCAAAGAAAUCAGACAAAAAAAAGUUUUAGCAACAGCAGCAUUCAUUGCAAGGUGAUUUCUGCUGAUAACACAGUGGUAAACUGCUUUUAUUAUAAAAUCUAUUUCCAGGGGUUGGCUUUCCAUAGGGAAAAGUUACUCUAUGCCUGAAUGCAUUAAGUCCUGAGUGUCAUAUUCAGUCCCUGCAAGGACAGAGGAUGAUCAGUAUUUUAGGAAAUGUAAAGUCUAUUUCAACUUAGGAGAAAUGUGUUUUGAGUGGUGUGUUUCUGAGUUAAUGUACGGUGAGGAUGCAGACUAAAAGGCCUCCAGGCAGCUUCAAAUUGUUAUUAAAGGGAGGAAAAUAUAUGGAGGGAAAAAUCUAUCAUCUUCAUUUUCCAUGUGAUUUCAAAGAAAAAAGAAACCACUUUGAGGGAAAGCUCUGACAAAAAGAUCGCCUCUAAUGCCAUAAGUUAUGGUUCUAUAAAUCAGCCAGAUGAUAUAGGGCUGGCACCAGGCAAAUAUAUCUUCUAGCAUCAAGAACUAUAGGGGAGAUUCUCUCAUUCAAGAGUUGUUCAUAAUUCACUAUAAUUGGUGGGAAAGUGAGGGCUGUGACAAUUUAAUUCAUUCACAACUGGCAAUGUUAUUAUUGCAGAACAAAAAUGCCGUGUUAGAUGAAAACCAUCUGGUGUCAACAAAAACCAUCCCUGUGGUCAAGCAACAGCUUGGGACAAGUGGAUGUUGUUUGAAAAGUCACUGGGCCAGAAGCAGGGUUGAUUCCAGCCUCUGAAACGGGCACGAAUUCUUCUCUCGUAAUAAGAAAGGUGCCACCCAAACGUGCAGAGUCCCACUUGCCUCAGGUUAAGGUAUCUUUGUAUUUUUUUCUGUUUUCUGAGGGUUUGGAGGACUUGGUCAUCUGCAGACCCUGGAGGUGGGCAAUCAGGGCUGGGCGAAGGAUUCCUGAAGCUCCAAGGGCAAAAACGCUCCCGGUUUAAACAGCUUUGGGUGGACAAAGUGUUGUCAGUUGGAGGAGAGCUUUCAGCAGUGCUGAACCAUGUGGCCCCCUAUUAACCCUCAGGGUAUUUCUCUGUAGGGAGAGAAGGCAAACCCCAGGUUGGUGCAGCCCCAAGUGCCCAGCCAAGACAGAAGAGCUUUCUUCUCACUGCUUUGAAUGCUGCUGUGGAGUACUGUGAUGUUUCCUGGGAGUGGCUCUCAGGAGACCCCAAGCUUUAAAUCCCCCGUUGCCUCCAUCUCUGCCAAAGCCCCCGUGUGCUCCUGGGCUUUUUUGCUCAGCUGAGUUUUCACAAAGGUUUGGCUCAAUUCCCUGCAAACCAGCCUUCCCCCAGGCAUCCACCAGGCCUUAGGGAGAGGCUCUGCUUCGUUUCUUCACACCACGCCUUUUAAUCUACAGCCAGAGCAGGAACCAAAGUGGAAAAACACAGCAAUUGCACAGGGGCCGCUGCAGCAGGUGCCUGCGGGAGCCUGUUCCUAUGAGCCCUCGGGCACUGGGAUUUGCAGAUUUAGGCAAUUCUGGGCUCUUGGAUGCUCUUUGUGGAGAAGUUUGUGAACGUGGGAGUGUUUGUGUGAACUCCAACCCUUCCUCAGAGCUGGGCUGUCAGUCAGCAGCGCUGGCAUCAAAUGUGCAUCCCCACAUCAAAGCCCUGCUGACUUCCGAUGAAGGGAAACAAGGGAAAACAGAUUCUUGGUGCGUGUUGUUUAUUUUAACGUGUUUUUAGUGUUUGAUUGAUUUCUUUUCCAGCAGCAAGCCUGAGGGGGGGAUGGUUUGCUUUAUCAGGAAAUGAGGAUAAACUUACCCAAGCAAGCUCAGGCUAUGCAGGCAGGUGCUGUCUCCAUGCUAACUGUCCCCAAGCAAAGGCUGAGGCUGGGGUCAAGCCCUAGGGCUGCACUCUGCUGCCAUCACAGAGACAUAGAAUACCCUGAGUGGAAAGGGAGCCAUAAGGAUCACAAAGUCCAACCCCUGGCUCCAUACAGAACCAGCCAAAGCUCAGACCCUAUCUGAGAGCAGUGUCCAAAAGCUUCCUGAGCUCCAGCAGCUCAGUGCCGUGACCACUGACCUGUUCCACACCUACUGCCCUCCCUCUGAAGAGCCCUUUCCCAGUAGCCAACCUGAGACCUCCCUACGCAGCUCCACGCCAUUCCCUCAGGUCCCAUCAUUGCCACCAGAGAGCAGAGAUCAGUGCUGCCCCACAUUUUGAAAAGCACAGCCUAUACCCUGCCUUUAUGGAGAAAGAAGGCAGAGCUGCUUGCUCUGUGUGUUUGAAACUGGAGCAUUACUGAAUGGCUCACAGAGCAUCUGCAGUCCCUCCACGCUGUUACAGCUCCUCUUUGUUCAUGAACCAUUUACACAUCACUUCUGAUUCCUGUAGACAUUUACAACCAUUAGUUCCAAUAUAAAAUAAUCAGCUUCCGUGAUCCCACAAUGGGGCUGUCCUGUACAAUGCAGGGCAAAAACUGAAAUGUGAGGGCAUUAUAGCAGUGCCAGCCCUUUCUGAAUAGCAGGAGGAAAACAACCCAGAGGCUCUAUAUCUGAUUUCCCUUCCAUGAGGAUCCAGGUGCAUAUUUUCUGCACAUCUCAGUGUCCCAGCAGCAUUACUCACUGCUCCUGUUGGCAUCACAGGCAGCUGAGAGCAGUGGCUCCCAUGCCCUUGUCGCUCAGCUGCUGUCGAGGCUCAGAGUCACAGUUAAGCACAGAGCCUCCAAUUAGUCACAAAAAGUGAAACAGUCUUUCAGGAGAAUUAAGUUGGUGCAAAGGAGUGAAUCACAGCAGAGAUAAUAUCCAGGGCAACUUUAACUGAAAAGAGAUAGUGGAGGAGAGUAAAUCACUCCCUGAGCACAGCCAGGCUGAAUUGAUCACAGCUGCUAUACGAUGCAGGGUGGCAAUAACAACUAUUCCAGGGCUGUGCUCUGUGCCUGAUGGAGAAAAUCUGGGGCAGGGCGCUGGGCAGGAAGGGAGCUGCUGGAACCAAGGAACACAGCCAUGUGGAGGAGGCCAGAGAGGUGUCCUCACCCCGAGGGAACCCCACUUCUCAUCUCUCAGGUUUCAUUCUCAGAGGACAUCAGCCCUGGCACAUGGCAAUCCACCCAAGCUCAAAGCUACGUUCUUUUCUUAUAAGUGCUUAGGAAAGAGGGUCUUCAGUCAAUAGUGAUAAAGUUGGAGUGUUUUGUGUGUGUGUAUAUACACAAACCUCAAUGCUGGCAUCAGUUAUUUAUCUUACAGAAUUCACAGAAUCACAGAAUAUCCUAAGCUAGAAGGGACCCAUAAGGAUCAUUGAGUCCAACUCCUUGAAGAGUGCAUUAAAUUCAAAAGAUGCCCAUUCUGCCAGCCCUUUUGCUUUCCUUUUUUCCCAUGGAUUAUGUUGAUAAGGACUACAGAGCCUGAAUUCUACAUUUGGAGAGAGGCUUUCCCAAAGAUCUUAGAGGUGGGAAAAAGAGAAUAAGAAGUGGCUGGAGGGUGAAGAGUUAAGGAACCCGUAGCUUGAGCUGCUCUCGAGGGAGACAGGAAAGCUGUAGAGAUUUGGCACUACAUGCAGAUCCCAAAAAUUAGAUCAUAGCACAUAAUUAUCCUCCAAACUGGUCCCGGUGCCAAAAUCUUAAUAUCUGGGAUUGUUAUAAUUUGAAGUCAUGUAGGAAAUCCAGAGUUCCAAUCAAUUGCAUUCCCAUGCCCAGUCGCUCCCUGUCCUUGCCCGUUUUACAAUAAAACAUACCUGGCAUUGUGUGCAGAGUGAGUAACGAUUCCUGUGCAGAAAGGGAAGAGAGAGAAACACGGAGAACUCUCCCAGGCACUGCAGGCAGCGGGCAGGCAGUGCUGGCACGAUGCGGCCGUGACUCAGCCCUGCGUUCCUCUGCCAGUGGCCGCUGCCUCUUCCACCCCAUCCUGCUCCUUUCGGGACACAGUUUGCAACGUGCAUGCAAAAUCUGCUGCAGUUCUUAUUAGCUCAGCUUGUGUCUUUCUGUCAGGAUGCACCCGGCUCUUCUAAAAUCUCAGCACUUGCACAGGGCUGAAUUCAGUGCAGCCGUUCCUAAAAAAAAAAGGUCGCUGCACAAUGUCCCACAGACUCUCAGGAAUCCAACCAGAAGAGAACGUGAACUUUGCAUCACAGUGCCAGGGGGACAACAAUGCUUUCUUUGGGCAAUAAGUGGGAGCAGGAUGGGGUCCAUCACCCCUGGGAUGGCACAGGGAGCAGGCACAAGGCUUGUUCCAGCACUAAGCACUACACUUCCCUACAUGCACGCACACAGUUCGGCAUGCCACCACCCCAAUGAGCAGCUCUGCAGGCUGGUGGCACCAAACCAGCUUUUCUAUAGCAGCGAGCUGGGGGUGGAAGAUGUUCUGCAGGCAGAGGUGCUGUUAUCUGUGAAUUGGGUGCUGCUAGGAAUAGGAAGCUCAGCCAAGGACGAGCUACCAGAGCUUCUAGUGAGGAAAACAGCAGUGCAGGGGCAGCUGAGCCUGCAGUGAUGAAGGGCAGGACAUGCCUUGCGAUCUGGGCUUUUUUUUUCCCACUUCCUGUUUAUAGGUUGACUGCAUUUCCCCAGCGUUUGAACUUCUCCGUCACGCUGUUUCUCUGCUGCUGCUGACACUGAGUGAGAAUUAAUAAGCUUCCUCUGAGCAAAUAUCUUUAUUUAAACAAGCUGCUGCCCUGCCAGCAGCCCGCUGGUGAAUGGCAUUUUGCAGCAGGCAGGAUGUGGGCAGAGCUCCCCAGCAGCACCAGCAAUGAUCCCAGGUGCUCUCAGCAUUGCAAUAGAAGCACCUGUGCUGAAGGAGUAUUUGCAGGGUUGCUUUCUUUUUUUUCCUCCUUUCCAUCGAAGGAGGCUGAACAUGACUGAGGAUCUGGCUCCAGUCUCUGGUACUACACAGUUGACCUCAAGCCUGGUGAAUUCUUCCAAAAACCCGGCCUGCCUUGCCCCCCAGCCCCAGUCUUCCAACUGUCGUGAGCAGUGGAGCAAGGAGGUGGCAGCUGUGUUUUUGGCUUUUCCUGCAUUGAAUUAUACUGCAGUGAUCUCCAAACAAGACAUUUCUCAAUCAGACGUGAAAUGUUUGUUUUCCUGUUCAAAAAAUUAAUCUGCUGCCCGUGGUAUGCAUGGCAUCUUGCAUAUUUCUCUCCCUACUCACUGUCAAGUGACUUGAUAAUUCCAACAGAAACUGCCACAAAAGCUGGAAGUCAGAUGGUCUGCAACUUAAUUAAUCAAUCAGUUUACUAUAUUAGCAAACUUAAAGGAAUUCUGAUGCGGACCCAAUGCUUAAAUCUGCUGCGACAUCUGCAGUCAAUCAUGCUUACAUUACCCAUUAACAAAUUACAUCUGUGCUAAGCAAGAUACCCUGUGGUUCCACCAUGCAGAGAGCUGGAGGACCACGGGCACCAGGACGAGCAAGGCACAAAGGAGAGAGGUUACAGCAGAACAGGUUUGUCCCAUGUUUGUUCCAGCUGUGUGGGCUCAAUGUAUGCUGAAGGAUCAGCUCAGGGGACAGCCUUGUGAUAGAAUAUAAAGGUUAUGUGAGCAGAUAGUCUUUCUGUUGUAAGGGCUGAUGGGUUUGCCCGGUACCGACCACAGGGCUGGCUUAGGUGCUAUGCUGCUGCCUCUUGAAGGUGGUCUGGGGGCAGCUGGGACAAUUUGGGUACCCCGUCAAUGACACAUCUCAGGGUGAUAGGUGGGGCGUGGCCCUGCUAUUGCCAGGAGCCACAUCCCACAGAUGCAUGGAGCCUUGAAGCAAGGAGAUAACACCAGUGCUGCUAUAAUUAUACCUAGGAUCUAGAUGCAGUUCUCUUCAAAAGCAUGCCUGCUCUGUUCCACGUAUGUGAACAGGUGUUUUAUUUCCUCCAUUCAUUUCCAAGAACUGCUUCACUCAAAUGCUGAGCUGAGUGGUGCUCCAGUUUUUUUUUUUGCUGAGUGGCUUCCAACCCUGGAGUGGUUCGAUCCCGCUGUGUGCUUGUCCUCCCUCCAUGCUCACAAACCGUCAGCAGGGCAGCUGCUUUGCAAGCAGCAUUAAAGAUCUGUUGCCACCAGUGAGUUUGAAUGCUGUGGAAGGACAGCCAGGGCUCACGGAACACCAUGUACCAUCACCUGUGCAUGACUCUCUUGCUUUUAUAUUUUGCAAGCCUUCAUCUUUGGGUGAAUUGCUUUCCUAUGUUUUUAGUUUUUACUGCUGAAUGGUGAAGCAAGAUGACAGCAUCAGCAGAAGAGCUGUUAUCAAGUAUCACUGCCUGCAUCCUGUGGUUGUGCCGUAAUGGACCAUGGGCAGCCUGGCUCCAGCCAAGUGCACAGCUCAGGCUCUGUGCAGUACUGCACAUCCUAAUUCAGCAUCAAACCUCUGAAUUCCCAUACGUGUGCCAUGAACAAGAGGAGUCUCCAGGAGGAAAAAAAAAAAAGCAAAGAAUGGGGGAAAAAAUGAGAAGGAAGGUCACAAAGCAGGAGCCCAGGUUGGCUUAGUCCCUGGUGAGUUGCGGACCUUGUGUGUGCAGCCCUGCCUGCAGAAUGCAAAUUGGGCAAGGUGAUUUUUCUGUUAUGGGUGACAGGAAAAGCCUGGCUUCUGAGUGCUGGGAAUCCUCUGGCAAGGAUUAAACUUUUAAAUGUUCUCACGUGAGAAAUAUUGUGUGCUUUGGAUGUAAUGCAAGUAAUUGGGUGCAACCCUGUAAGAACAAAGAGCAGCCAGCUGGUACCUCUGUCAGCACAAGCACACAGAAGCAAAUUUGGUGAACUUGCUAUGAUUUGGAUUCUAUCUUUUAUAUCUAACCCCAGAUUAAGUUAUAUUUUCAUGAUAGGAUUAGCAGUUUAGCCCUUUAUUCUCCUAUCGUUCAAUCUUCCAAAGCUGCUCCGUUCCUGACCCUGUGCACCUCUUCUUUGUUCAAUACAGAUUAUGCUUUGGACUAGAGGCCAGGAUUUUCCCAUUGACAUGGACAAAUUGGUCUACUUUAUUGCAUUCUGGAGAUUUGAUCCUCCUCUGCAGUCUGCUGGGCAACUUCCAAAGGAUAGAAUUGGAUUCCUCACCAUAAAGUUUCUCCUUCCAAGAUGGAAAGGGCUUUUAUGGCAAAGUAUAAAAUCAAAAAACAAGCUGUCACUCGCAUUUGCUGCCCUGCUCUUUCUGUGCACUGUAAGAAGCACUCUCAGGGUUUUGAAGCCUGCUGUAUUAAGUGUGAGAUGGUGAAAAGGUCAUGACAGAAGGGCUGGUGAGAUUGAAAUCGAGUGCAGGAGCAUUCUGCAAGGAGGUGACUUGCCUGCUCCAAAUGCCCUGAGAAGUGAAGGCGAGAGCCUUAGCACAGCAUUGUGCUACCUGUGUCUUCUCCAUCCCUGCUACCUGCAUCCCUCCUUGCACAACCAGACCGUGGCUUUCAGGGUGACUGAUGUCCCCAUCAAGGAACAGUUUGUGACAAAGGAAUACAUCUUCCAUGAGGAGGAUGACCAGGAAUUGGACAACAUGAACUGAAGAAAACAUCUCCUGCCUCAGCAAUGGGCUCCCAAACCAAAACAGACAUUACUGCCUGGAAGUAAUUCGGAGGAACUCUACCAGCAAGUGUGAAAUGAAUGCAAAUGUGCAGCUUCUUUAGACUUAAUUGUAGAAGAGCAUCUGUUUACAUUUCAUUUCAGUACUACAGUGAACCCUCAUCUAUUGGGAAGUUUGCAGCCUGCAAAGAUAGCAUGUUGUUGAGUGGUUUUGAAAAGAAUAUACCAUCAUUCACCAGGUUCAUGCUGCUUGCCUCUAUUCAGCCACUCACCAGAGCCACCCUAUCGAAACUACAACUGUGGAUGUAAGCAUUUCUGAGAGCUGUAAUUGAACUCCCCAUCACAACCUUUACAGCAAUCAUUUUGAUUACUCUUAGCUUAGCAAUUAUGGCUGAGUGACACAUUUUCAGCUUUGGAAAACAAUAUGCCUAGCCCAGCUACCCUAUGCAUAAGUGUCUCAUAUACAUAUAUCCACAUAGAUAUACAUAUUUACCAGCUUUCACGUGCUAAAUGGUUUCUAAGCUCCUGCCUGCCAAGGAGCUGGUUGAUCCAUGAGCAGGAUUCCUGUUGGAUGGCUGCGUGAUGUGUGCCAACAGCUCCCUCUGGGUUUUUUGUCUGAGAUUUACUUCAGUUGCAGAAAAAUCAGGGAAUGUCUUUGUUCCCAGAAGUACUCCUGGCAGCCGACCUUGGAUCACGACCCAUCAUCGCAGCCCAGUUGCACAGUCUCUAGACAGCAUCUCCUCGGGGCCAGCACAACCUGGGGUGAUGAGACAAGCUCUGUAAUGGAAACGAUUGUGCCUUUGUGUCUGGGCAGCCAGCAAGUGUCAUUCUUUGAAACACAGCGGCUAUUUCAGAAAGAGCAUCUCUAGCGGAGAUGCAGCAGUUUUCCAGGGCACCAUGGAGACAUCCAGUUGCAUAACCCUGACAGUCACUGGGAGACAGUCUGCUGGCAAGCAUUACUGAUACCCCCCGCUCCUGCUCAGCAUGAAGUCCCAAUGACCUCAGCCCUUGGCCGCCUUGUCCACCUCCAACAAGGAAUGUUAGAGAGAACAUCUCAGGAGCCCCUCCCAUAAGCUAUGAACCAAAGCCCUUAAUUUUACAGCUACUAAAAUAUACCAAAGUUCAACACAAUAGCUUUUCAAGUUGACUAACUGGUACGUGGGAGCCAAAAAGCAGGAGCCAUGUAGAUUUAUCAUGUCGUUAAAGGGAACUGGGGUGAGUGUUAGGCAGAGGAUGGAGAUCGCGAACCCAGAGCUGAGGGCAACAGCUUUAUGAUGAGUUUCACCAUCUGAAAGCCUGGUGUUGUGCACUGCAGCAACCAGCGUUGAGCUCGUCAGAUCUCAGAUUUGCAGCAGGCUGCUUUGCUUCUUUGUUCAUCAAAACAGGGAAGAAAUAGUGGAGCACUUUGGAAAAAUCCUGGAGAAUCUGGUAGAGAUGGAAUUGAGGGUGCUUAGGAACUUGCAGAGUCCAAGGCAGAAAUUACUGUAAAUACUUGUUGAAUUUAGUAAGUGUUUUUAUGCUUCCUGUUGGGUUAUUUUUAACACUCUUGUAGGAUUCCAUAGUGGGAUAUGAUUAUGCAUUAAAUUUUAAUGGUUGUUUUAAAAAUAAAAGCUGUCGAAUGCUAUCAUUUUCUAUUAGGUAAUACAGAGUGCCUCCAUUAGGAGUGUUUUUCUCCUUCCAAACAAAGCCUAGGCAGGCUCGAGCAACAGUCAUGAGCAAAAUAAUCCCAGCUUGGGGAAGAUAUUAAUAAAAUCCAGGCUGCAAAAUGUGCAGGAAGCUGCUCUAAUGUAUCCAUUUCCAAUUUCUGUUCACACAGGUGAACUCAAGAGCAAACCAAGGUUCACCACAUCCUAAUUGCAUUUGGGGGCACUGCUGAAAACUUCAACUUUGAGAUUUUCCUUAAGGAAUUCUCCUUGAUUCGUAUCUUCUUUUGUGAUCAAGGAAAAGUUUUCCUGCAAUUUGAAGAACCUGUAUACAUUUCAUGCCUUUUCUAAUCUAACCCCAUGUGGCACAGAUCAAAGGCCUUCAUGAAGUUCAGAGCAUGAAGCUCAGUAAUCUUGCAUCCUGAAUGAAUUAUCUGCCAGGAAGAGGUUUAAGUCUCAUGUGAAGGUAUCAUUGGCUUCUGUCAUCAUGUACGCUCCUUUGGCUGUAUGAUUAAUUGCUGUGAUUUCUGUAGGACUAACAUGGUCAUGUCUCAUUAGCUGUCUUUGGCCACCACACAUUCAUCAGUCAGGCAUCAUCAGAACACCUUUGGUUUUUAAGAUCGUACUAGGUUUUCACAGAUCAUGCCCAAAUUUUACUGGAGUGCUUGUGAAUUCUGGUUGAAUUCAAGCCCCACUGGGCAAGGGGAGAAAUGUUCUCUGCAAGCUCAAGAGCUGAGCAGGCCAAGAUGAAGAAAGAUUGGGGAGAAUGUGGUCAGCUGCAAAUAUCACGUGAGUGUUCCCAGUAUCUGGGGUCAUUAACUUUGGUUUGGCAGGAUUUCAGUAGGAGGAAAUUUGCUAGAGGAAGAUGAGAAGAUCACCAGACAAGGGUGCCACAUCACUGUGCUCAGGACAUGAUACGUCAGGAGCUGGACUUCUGCCCUGCAGGGCCUUCUCCAGUUUUGGCUGCAGAACACCUGAGCAGCCCCUUCCAGCUGUAUUUCUGGGCCAUGCACACAUGCCAUGGCCAUGCUGAAUGCACAACACUCAGCAGCAUGGCAGGGGCUGUGUCCCAAAGGCACAGGGCUGGACACCACCUCCAUCUUCAUCCCAAGAGGAGAGGACAUCCCAUGGGAGAGGGACCAGUGCAGAGAGCUCCCAGCAGGGUUUUGCAGCAGCCAGCUUACAGUGGCGUGGCAAUGUGAAUGUCUGCAAGGUGCAGAGCUUUUUGUGCUGUGGAUUCUGUCUCCUUUUAUUUCUUGUGUAGGCAGUAUUCCUCCUGACUCCAUUUAUUUAUCUAGAUCCAUUGUGUGCUUACUAAUAGAGACAGCAUGUUCUGGUUUUUUUAGCUUGAGAAGUUGAGAAGGAAAUUCUCAUGAAAUAUGUUACCAGUCUAAAUUAUCCCAUGACUUGCCUACGUUUCAAAUUAACUGGUGGAAUAUCAACAAACAUAAUGGCAAUUCUUUUCCAAUCCCAUCUCCUCCAGUCAGUCUUUAGCCCACUUAUCAGACACUUGUUAUUACAAAAAUAAUCAGGAGAGGAAAAUACACCAGUGCUGAAUCAACACUACCAUACUUCUUUUUUUUUCCCCUCUUUUUGAACUCGUCCAACUUGCUUGGAUUCUGUUGGCCAUGCACCAGCCUGAAACUGGAGAAACACAGCUGGCUAAAUCCAUCACAUCUUAUUACAGGUUAUCAAUUCUCCCCUGCAAUAAACACAUUUGACAAUUAGCAGGGAAUUGAUGAGUGAGCCAGUUUGAUUGCUGCUAUUUCUUUACUCCUUAGUACCUGACAGAGAGGUUUACAAUGCAACCUUAAUUUGUAGAAAAAGCAAGACGCUGGUAAAGCCAUUAGCGUUUCUUAUACCCAAAAUGACAAAUGGUCUUUACAUUAAUCUCGAAUCACUUCUUUAAAGCAAGGAUCAGGAAAGAAUUUUCCUCGAAAGGAUAUUGCUGCCCAGCUGGGGAGGUGCUCUAAUAGGGCUUUCUCACCUUCUGGGGGAUCGAUAGCAUGGGGCUGCCAGGCUGCAUUGCUGGGCUCCAUAAAGCCAUUGGUGUAAUUUGUUUUGAUGAACCUUCUGCUUCAAAUAAUAAUAAUAAUAAUAAUAAAAAUUGCAAACUCUGCAUAGACAGAAGACCAAACCACACCAUGACUCACAUCGUACAGUAAACCAUUUAGGAGCAAUACUGCAGUGAUUGAGAUUUAACUCAUUCCAUUCCAUAUCUCUCUGCAAUUAAUCCAAUAUUUGGCCAGCUGGCUUUUUUUGAAUUUCAGUUCUUCAUUUGGGAAAAGGAAAAAAUAAAUAAAUCAAAGCUCUGCCAAUGCCAAUCACUGUAGCAAAGCUCCACAAUGGUCUGAAAAUAAGGACUGUCAGGGACUUCGAGAAGGAACCUACUCUUCCCAUCUCUCUCAAGACCUCCCUGAUCCCCAGGAGCCUUUCUCUGUGGCUGGGCCUGACAUUAGCUCCCAACAGCUUUGAUCCCAUGAGGUUUAUUCAGACAGAGGCAUCAUCUUUUGUGUUUAAAAUGGGCAUGCAUCAGGAAAAACACAAGCUACCUUCAGUGUAGUCUCAGAAUACCAGACACCAGCUUUGAUCUCUUCAAUGUGCAGAUAAAAUGAGGCUGGUGAGAGAAUGAAAUCUCCUUCCUUUUCAUUUGCUAAGUACAUUAAUGUGUUCUUGAUCUCAAAAUGAUUCUCAUUUACUCACUGUAAUCACAGCGUUUUCAUUCUUCUCUUUGUUUGUAGGGCCUUUGCUGUUGGUUUUCUUUUGUAAUCAAGAGGUUUUUUUUCUGUUCUUGCAAGCUGAAUAUUUUCCUGCUAGCAAACUUGUCCUAACUGUGCUUUACAAGUGCAUUCUUUCCUUCAUCUCAUUUCCUCCCACCCUGAGCUGGGGCAGAGAUUUGCUCUGGCAGCAGAUAUGAAGGCUGCAGAUAAUGCCGAGGAAAGCAAAGACCACACGGAGUAGUGUUGGCCUGAGCAGCAGCAAGAAAGUGCCCCAUGCACAUCCAUUAGGGAGAGUUUUGUUUGGCAGACCUCCCAGCCUAAUAAUCAGUUUGGUUGUGGUUAGGGUUGGUUUUUUUUUUUUUUUUUUUUUUUUUUUUUUGGUCUUUACUGCCUAUUUGGAAGAACAGCAGCAUUGGUGUUCUGGUGACUUGCUGAUCGUUAUACAGUUGAGGAAAUAGUUAAACAUAAUGAGAGGUCAGACUACAACUGCUCCACACCACCUCCAUGGCCAUAAGGGUUGUGCCCCAACACAAGAUACAAGAUGCUGUAAGGUGUUUAUGGUGUUGCUGCUGGGGAGGAUGAGAAGUCCCUCCCUCUGUUAAUAAAGAACAAAUGCUGGAUACAGAGCAAUGUGCUGACUCUUCCUGAGACUUAGAGGUACAUCUCAAGCCAAACAUGAGAUGAUGAGCCUCAUGUUCUCGUGGUUAAUGAGUGUGUGCAGUCAUAGCCUAUGGUUGCUGCCCAUUAACUUUGCUCAGCACACAGUGAGAGAGAGGUUAGAAGCUGAAUACUUGGGUUUGCAUUUGGUCAUAGACGUAGAAAACACAACAAAAAGCAAAGUGGAGAUUUCCUACAGCUCAGCUGGUGCAUGGUAAGCUCGCUAAAUCUCAGUAACUUGACAUCUCUUCCUGGCAAUUGAAAUUCUGCUUUCCCUGGGCUGGCAGUGUUAAAGAGGAAAAUACAAUGGCACUUCGUGGUGCUUGUGAUGGUUCAUGGAAAAAUGUGCAUCCCAAUCAUAUGACCCAGGAGGUACAUAGGAUGUAACAGAGUGCGGUGGGUGAAAAGCAGAAGUUCCCAAAUUGAUCUGUGUUGGGAAAAUCGUCUGCAGGUUCCAAUAACUGUGUCAGCUGAAUCGCUUGGACUGCUUUCGUGUGCAGAACCGUGCAGGAAAUCCCAACAAAGCAGAAUUUCUCGUAAGACUCCUGGUGCAUCAGCCUGCAGACCGAGCCAGAAAGAAACCACAAAAAACAAUUGCUCUCCUUGCUGUGCAGCUACUACAAGUCCCAGGUGGAACCUGAAAAUGAAAUGUGUGCGUGUGUCAAAAGAUCGCCGGGCUUUCCAAAAUCCACUCUUUGAAUACAGUUGCAGAAACAAGCACAUGAUGUGGGUCAGAGGGUCACUCUGUGUUUUAUACAUUGUUCUCUCAUCAGCUCUGCUAGAACUGACCCAAUGACUCCAUUUAUGUAGGAAUAUUAUUUGAAGUUUCUUAUACGUCGCAGAUUUGGGCACCCAAGAUGGUGCAUCACUUUGGAACAUCUUUAAGGAAACUUCAGAGCUGUUAUAUGCUUUACUGAACAAUGAACCCUAUUUCUUCAUUGUUGUUCUGGGAUGAAUAUCUGCUGAACCAGAAGUGUAGAAACAGUGAGAAGAAAUUGGCUCUAAAAGGUCUUUAAAGCUAACUUAUAUUCAAGGAUUCAUCAAGGACCUGGUUUGUCCUACUCCUACCUUUCAGAGGAGCGUAACGAGGAAGUUAGGAGGCUGGCAACGGUAAUACAAGAGAUCCAUGUCCAAGUCCAAAUAUUUCUGGUGCAUUCUGAAUGGCCAGUGUAUACCCAAGACUUGAUCUCUGUUACGGGGUUGCCUGCCUAUAAAACACAGCACUUUUUCCUUAGGGAUGACUUGUGUCUUUUGCAGUUUAUGAAGUAUCCAAGUCCUUUGUAAACAAGAUUUAAGGAAGUCUAACCAUUUUCACCUUGCAGCAGAGUUUCACGGAGAGCAAAAGUAAGAACUCAAACACCAGAGGAAAAGUUAACAAGAGAAGAGAGCAUUUGGGGUUCAUUAGGAAGACAUUGGAUGAGAAGUUGGGAAGCAGCAGAAAAAUGCUAUAGGGUAAAAAGGAAUUCUUUGUGCCAAGGAUCUUGUCUUGUUGUCUUCAUCUGUAAAAUAUCCAGAAAUCUGCUGGCACAACAUGAAACAAGACAGAGGCUGAAAGCAAUAAGACUGCGCUGAAAUUUAAGUCCUGUUAAAUUCAUUUUUUCCAGGGUUUGCAAGAGCUGUUUCCCUUCCACCUGCUGACCAAACAGGAUAGCAGUAAAAUACUUCCUCUUACUGACUCACAAAUCUGUCGGACGUGAUGAGGCCCAAUGGGAGUUUGGUGAUGUCUUAAAUAGUGAUUUGCUUUUUGCCUCAUGGCAAACAGCACUCCCGGACUGGUAACACAAGCUGUGCUUCCAGGCUAUGGUUCACAGGGCUAUCCAAACAGACUCAAAGAGGUCUUGGUCUCCUCUGUUGCAUGAAGAUAGGUCUUGUUAUUAUAGUUCUGUUUGCUCACAAGUGAGAUUGUGCAGGGAUUUUUCCAUUUCAGCGUACUGCAGAUGAGGGGAGCAGGACAGCAACUUCUGCAGAUGGUCCAGAGCUGACCUGAAGCUGUACAAACCCUUCUUCAGGGCCUUUCCCAAAGAGCAAACCAUGGGUUUGUGUGGCCCAGCACAGAUCGUUCUAAUCUGUCCUGCAGUUCUCUCUGUCCCUGCAGCUAUUGCAGUUUGGAGAGCAUUUCUCCUGCAGCUGAUGGCCAGAAAACCAGGAGGCAGCUCACUGGAGUAAAUCUCCAUUGAAGUUUUUUGGUUUUAUUUCCCUGCCAUAGAGGCAAGACAACAACGGAACAUUAAAGUGAGUUAUUAUAUGCUAUGGGUUUCGGAAACAUCCCUGUGCUUCCUUCCUAGGUCAUGUACAGCCCUGUGGUUUCUGCAGGCUCCGCUCCUGCUCGGAUGCCGGUAGCUUUCCAUUCCCACCGCCUGGAGCCGCUUCUCCAAAGUCUGACUAAACGUGUGUGUGUGUAAGGGGAAAUGAUUAACUCUGACCAUCUAUAGAAUGAAAUUCUUCCUACUUAAAGGUACUCCUGACAAAGCUGACUGGGAAGAAUUGCUAUGGUGGUUUCAAAUAGAGCAUACUGCACUUUUUCCAAAAACUUCUUUGAUAUUUUUUGUGAAGAGUAAAGAGUGGUUUCUGCAAAGGAAUAUCUGCCAUCUCGCUGCAAAUAAUCAUUGGAUUAUGGUUUUAAUUCUAAAAACAUACAUACCCACAGUUGCCCCACUGAAAAUAAAAUCCUUUUUAUCAAUUGAAUAUGCUGGACCUGAAAACAAGGUGACAGUCCUUAACAACAAGGCUCAGACCAUUAAGUUUUUGUUCUCUUUUGUCUCAAAAAAGGUAUUCAGGACUCGGACAUUCAUGUAAAAUGUCCUCCUAGCUCUCCACCCCCACCGGAGAUUUUAAACAAACGUUAAAGAAGGAAAGGAAUAGCAUAAGCAAAUUUCAAGGGACAGGAUGAAUUACAACCCAUCUGUAGUUUUUUUCCCAUUCUGCUGACAAUCUACACUGAACUCUGUCUGCGUUGUUGUGCAGAAAUGUGCCGGUGGAUUCUUGCUGAAGUUAUCCAUAGUCAUCUGAGCAGCCCAUAGGGCACUGCUGUCACAGUGACUGCCUCCAAGGCCACAGCAAAGCAGCCCUGUGCCAGUGGGGCCAAAGCUGUAGCAAAAACUAAACCCCAGAUGCUGGCUUUUCCUUUUCCUGAGUCACUGCUGUGCCCAUGCCAUCACCCUGCAGCUCUCUACAGGUGCCUGGGGAAUAUUCAGGGAAGGGCACAACACCAGUUGAACAAGAUGCUUUCCCAGUUUUGCCCCAUUGGAUGCACUGCAAGUCACCCCAGAGCCUUGAGUGAUGCCAUUCCGAGGCACAUGCAGAGCAAGUCCCUUUCUUCCUGUAAACAGAAAGAGAUGUUUUCAGUUUACAUGCUUCCAGUUUACAUUGCAUGGAAGGCUUAUGUAAGUAACAGGGGAAAAGAAAAAAACUUAAUGAAUUCAUAACAGCCCGGCUAGGCACGGCCUCCAGAGCUAAACCUGUCAGGAUCUGGCCCAAGGAGGAUGCUCACUGGGAGACCUGACAAGCAAGACUGCGGAACUACAAGGAUUUAUUGUACACCAAAAUAAUUCCUAUGCUCACUGAGCAAAGCUGCUGCCACAGAGUAACUGCUUUCAAAAGUAUUUUCCAUCAUGAUCUCCAAGUCCCUUUUCUUGCCCAGAUUCCAUCACAACAAACAGCCCAAGGAUUUAUAUGCCUCUCGCUUACCUUGUGAUGACAGCCUGACACACGGGUUGCACAGAGGGAGGAGAGGAAGGGUUCAGCUCUCCUGUGCCCAAGCCAGGCUGAGGGCUGAGGGCAGAGGUCCUGGAAUGGGGCUUGCUGCUGUCCUGGGUCUGCUGGCUCUGCUCUAAGAGCAGAGAAAGGUGAGAAAUAUCAACACCAAACUACCUAGAUCUUUUUCAAGCACAAUAGGAAGCACUUGAAGAAGUGUCACAUCACUCACUUGUAGCAAAUGGUAAACUUACGCACUUUAGAAAGAGAAGAUGUAGGGUAAUGAUGGGGACGUUUGAGGUCCUCAUUCUGUUUUCAUGUGCAUAUGCCCAAAACAGACAAAAUAUCAUCUCCAGAUAAAAGAGAGAUUUGUUGUCUCAGCAGUUCCUGAUCUGCUGCUCAGUGGUAGAAGCAGCUUAGCCAAAACCAUCACCAUCUUGCUGAUGUGCAUACUUACAGACAAAGAGAGAAUUCAUCUUACACAGCUCCAAGGUGUCCAAGUGUUGGCUGAUGAAUCCUGGGCUUGUGCAUGGCCUUCCUUUAUUUUUUGUGAAGAACAACAGGCACCUCCAGAAUUUCCUUCUGACCAACAGUACAUAAGGAUGAGACCAAACUGCACCUUCAACUCUAUGAUUGUUUUGGUUCCCUUCCAACUUGGGAUGUUCUAUGAUUCCAAUGGGCUGCAAAGGGCUGCUGGGUAAUGAGCCAGACUGUGUCAGCACCGUAUCUGCAGGAGUAUAGUAAUAAUGCAAGAAAAUUGUAUUAAUUGUAUUGUCAUAGCAAUCGAAAUUCCCAAAUAGCAUCUCUGUGCCACAGCCCAUCCAUGUAUCUCCUCCUGCUGAUAAAGACAGCAUGGAAAUGAGAGGAGGGACUAUCAAGAAAGGUGUCUGUGAUAAGCAGCACUCAAAAAUUGCAAAUGCAAUAGAAAGAGAAAGACGUGGCUGUACUAAAGAUCAGGGGAUAAAUGACAGUGGGUGUAGUGAGUGCUGAAGACUGUGGAAGAUACAAAGGCACAAAAAGAAAAGCAGAGAGCCUGCCUCGUGCUGGGAUCUCAGCUCACCCCACUGCACGGAGGAGCAGGUGCAGAGGAAGAUGUGGGGCAAACAGGGUGGUGGAGAAGAAUCAGAAAUAGCUUUGUUUAGGCUCGGAAAAGGAGGGAAAGGCUUGGAAAAGGAUUGCUUUCUAUAAAUAACCGAUGUAACCCCUCAGGGAAGGGAGAUAGUUAUUUAAGCUGAAGGACAAUGUUGGCCUGGAAUCAAACUGGUUGUGAGUAAAUAGAGGGGGGAAACAUGAAGCAGGUUUCUGAGCAUCACAGGAAAGAUGUUCUGAAACAACUUUCCAGGCGCAGCAGGAACCUGAGCGCUUCUAAAUCCGCUGGAGCAGGAAAUGGAUCUCCGUGCCAAGAUAUCUUUGCCAAUGGCAAAUUUUACCCUGCCUCAGAAAAUCAGACUGGAUGAAAUCCUGAGAGAUAGCUGAUAGCUUGAUAGCUUGACCGAAGACAGGUCUGCUCCUUCUGAUGGGAAGAGGGCUGUGCCCUGUAAAUAGCCACAUGUGACAUCCGAUGGCUUCUUUGUCCUUCGCUGUCCCAGUUAUUGCAGCAUUUUGUUGUUAGGACAGGCAUUUUUCCCCUUUAUCUUCCCUCUAUGUCCCUUUCCAUUGCUGGGCUGCUGGCAGCUGAUGGACCACUGUGGGACGGGUGGGAUGCUGGGGCCUGGGAAACAAAUGCCUGGAGAAACCUUGGUCAACAAAGUCUAUGGAAACAAAACAAAAACAAGACCAGUAACACUGUUUUGAACGUUGCUGUUUAGUAAACGUGGAAACUGAGGAAACUGGGCUCUACGUUCCUUUCCUUUGAUUAGCCUUUUUUUACAGGACAGUCUACAGAGGAAUUGGUGAUACAGGAAAAGGCCACAUUCCCACAAAAACUGCAGUGCACACAUUCCAGCAGCAGAGCACAAGGAUGGCCCAGGGUGGUCUCUCACUGGGGACCUGCGGGAUGGCAUUAGCCUCGUGCAAUCUUCUCGCUUAGCUCUACACCUAGAAACAAACAGAAAAUGCAGCCCAGUUUGAACGGAAUUGCAGUUACAGUUUCACCCAACUUUUUCUCGUUUUUUGUUUUUCUCGUUAUAUCUGAGGUAAAUUGUGCAAGACAGGUACUCACAUUUUCAGUGGUUAUUAGGUUGGUCGAAGGCUUUUCCUUGUUGUAUAGAAGAGAUUUCUACCACUUGGGCCCAAAGCGAAUAAGCAAC